This is a long non-coding RNA of Hibiscus syriacus, 315 nucleotides long. RefSeq lists it as uncharacterized. Lineage: Eukaryota; Viridiplantae; Streptophyta; Magnoliopsida; Malvales; Malvaceae. The transcript is spliced from 3 exons. The record is from RefSeq and is a predicted model, not a curated record.
CUCUCUCUAUAUAUAUAUAAAAUCCUUCUCUCCUCUUUGUUUUCAUUGUAUUUCCUAAAGUUUUGCAGUUUGCAAAAGCAUGAGUGACCCCAAGUAUGCUUAUCCCUACCCUGCUCAAGGUUAUUAUCAAGGACCCCCAGUGAUGGCACCACCACAAUAUGCCGCUCCACCACCAAGGAGACAGCCUGGUUUCCUUGAGGGCUGACUUGCAGCUUUGUGUUGCUGCUGCCUCAUUGAUGAGUGUUGCUGUGAUCCUUCCAUCAUCUACAUCAGCUGAUAAUAAAUCUCUGUAAUAUCACUGCAUCUGUAUUACUA